RNAcentral lists this ribosomal RNA (449 nucleotides) under uncultured bacterium. Its description in RNAcentral is "bacterial SSU rRNA". It matches the Rfam family "Bacterial small subunit ribosomal RNA", at positions 29 to 524 of the family's 1533-position model. The record is from RNAcentral.
AACGAACGCUGGCGGCAUGCCUAACACAUGCAAGUCGAACGAAGCCUUCGGGCUUAGUGGCGCACGGGUGCGUAACACGUGGGAAUCUGCCCUUCGGUUCGGAAUAACAGUUAGAAAUGACUGCUAAUACCGGAUGAUGACGAAAGUCCAAAGAUUUAUCGCCGAAGGAUGAGCCCGCGUAAGGAUUAGGUAGUUGGUAGGGUAAUGGCCUACCAAGCCGACGAUCCUUAGCUGGUCUGAGAGGAUGAUCAGCCACACUGGGACUGAGACACGGCCCAGACUCCUACGGGAGGCAGCAGUGGGGAAUAUUGGACAAUGGGCGAAAGCCUGAUCCAGCAAUGCCGCGUGAGUGAUGAAGGCCUUAGGGUGUAAAGCUCUUUACCAGGGAUGAUAAUGACAGUACCUGGAGAAUAAGCUCCGGCUAACUCCGUGCCAGCAGCCGCGGUAAU